This 497-nucleotide ribosomal RNA is filed under the name uncultured bacterium. RNAcentral describes it as "partial 16S ribosomal RNA". It matches the Rfam family "Bacterial small subunit ribosomal RNA", at positions 28 to 507 of the family's 1533-position model. The record is from RNAcentral.
GAUGAACGCUGGCGGCGUGCCUAAUACAUGCAAGUCGAGCGAACAGAUGAGGAGCUUGCUCCUCUGACGUUAGCGGCGGACGGGUGAGUAACACGUGGAUAACCUACCUAUAAGACUGGGAUAACUUCGGGAAACCGGAGCUAAUACCGGAUAAUAUAUUGAACCGCAUGGUUCAAUAGUGAAAGACGGUUUUGCUGUCACUUAUAGAUGGAUCCGCGCCGCAUUAGCUAGUUGGUAAGUUAACGGCUUACCAAGGCAACGAUGCGUAGCCGACCUGAGAGGGUGAUCGGCCACACUGGAACGGAGACACGGUCCAGACUCCUACGGGAGGCAGCAGUAGGGAAUCGUCCGCAAUGGGCGAAAGCAUGACGGAGCAACGCCGCGUGAGUGAUGAAGGUCCUCGGAUCGUAAAACUCUGUUAUUAGGGAAGAACAAAUGUGUAAGUAACUAUGCACGUCUUGACGGUACCUAAUCAGAAAGCCACGGCUAACUACGUG